CCAGCAGCCGCGGUAAUUCCGGCUCCAAUAGCGUAUAUUACAGUUGUUGCAGUUAAAAAGCUCGUAGUCUGAUGUAAUGGGGACGGGAGUGGGGAGCAGCGAUGCUCUGCGCUUCGGUUUCCAUCAGGGGGUCAGCAAUGGCCCGGUUUACUUUGAGGAAAUUAGAGUGUUCAAAGCAGGCGAUUGCUUGGAUACUGCAGCAUGGAAUAAUGGAAUAGGACUCGCGUCUUAUUUUGUUGGUUUGGAGAUGUGAGUAAUGAUGAAUAGGGACAGUUGGGGGCAUUGGUAUUCAGUAGUCAGAGGUGGAAUUCUCGGAUUUGUUAAAGACUAACUUAUGCGAAAGCAUUUGCCAAGGAUGUUUUCAUUAAUCAAGAACGAAAGU
RNAcentral lists this ribosomal RNA (382 nucleotides) under uncultured eukaryote. RNAcentral's name for it is "SSU rRNA". It matches the Rfam family "Eukaryotic small subunit ribosomal RNA", at positions 567 to 990 of the family's 1831-position model. The record is from RNAcentral.